RNAcentral lists this ribosomal RNA (171 nucleotides) under Synura petersenii. Its description in RNAcentral is "partial 18S ribosomal RNA". It matches the Rfam family "Eukaryotic small subunit ribosomal RNA", at positions 1676 to 1831 of the family's 1831-position model. RNAcentral also lists the same sequence under 1 other name. The record is from RNAcentral. Lineage: Eukaryota; Synurophyceae; Synurales; Mallomonadaceae.
UCGCACCUACCGAUUGAAUGAUUCGGUGAAAAUUCUGGACUGUGGCUCGGACGCCUUCGGGCGACCUUGCUAUGGGAAGUUAUUUAAACCUCAUCAUUUAGAGGAAGGUGAAGUCGUAACAAGGUUUCCGUAGGUGAACCUGCGGAAGGAUCAUUACCACACCCUCAAAUA